This is a long non-coding RNA of Anguilla rostrata (American eel), 412 nucleotides long. RefSeq lists it as uncharacterized. Lineage: Eukaryota; Metazoa; Chordata; Actinopteri; Anguilliformes; Anguillidae. The record is from RefSeq and is a predicted model, not a curated record. The transcript is spliced from 3 exons.
CUAGAGGAAGUGCGCUUCCCGCUGCCUCACAUCUGCUCGUGCGUAACCGGAAAUAUUGUAUCGGCUGACGCUCUACUAGCUACUAGUUUGCUACCAAGUUGUACUGUCUUUGCAACAAACGACGUCUGCCACACUUUCCCUCACAGGCAUGGACUCCGUAAUGGAACCCUGACGCGAUGUCCCCACACACCUUGCACAGGAGCACCAUCCCUCCAGUCUCUGAUGGAGAGAGAGAAACAGUCAGAACAGCGGAGGGAAUGGCCCCAAAAAAGCACAAAGGGACAAACGAUUUCAGGCACAAAGAUUGGCCAGUGUGACAGAAGGCACUCACUCGAGAAGGUUCCGGUGAACCCACAGGGCCUCUUUCCCACGAUGGGGUAGGAGUAGGUGUGCUGGGAAGGGGCAGAAGAUG